RNAcentral lists this ribosomal RNA (497 nucleotides) under uncultured bacterium. RNAcentral describes it as "partial 16S ribosomal RNA". It matches the Rfam family "Bacterial small subunit ribosomal RNA", at positions 28 to 507 of the family's 1533-position model. The record is from RNAcentral.
GAUGAACGCUGGCGGCGUGCCUAAUACAUGCAAGUCGAGCGAACGGACGAGAAGCUUGCUUCUCUGAUGUUAGCGGCGGACGGGUGAGUAACACGUGGAUAACCUACCUAUAAGACUGGGAUAACUUCGGGAAACCGGAGCUAAUACCGGAUAAUAUUUUGAACCGCAUGGUUCAAAAGUGAAAGACGGUCUUGCUGUCACUUAUAGAUGGAUCCGCGCUGCAUUAGCUAGUUGGUAAGGUAACGGCUUACCAAGGCAACGAUGCAUAGCCGACCUGAGAGGGUGAUCGGCCACACUGGAACUGAGAAACGGUCCAGACUCCUAAGGGAGGCAGCAGUAGGGAAUCUUCCGCAAUGGGCGAAAGCCUGACGGAGCAACGCCGCGUGAGUGAUGAAGGUCUUCGGAUCGUAAAACUCUGUUAUUAGGGAAGAACAUAUGUGUAAGUAACUGUGCACAUCUUGACGGUACCUAAUCAGAAAGCCACGGCUAACUACGUG